Molecule: long non-coding RNA, 710 nt
Filed under: Rattus norvegicus (Norway rat)
Lineage: Eukaryota; Metazoa; Chordata; Mammalia; Rodentia; Muridae
Description: long non-coding RNA NONRATT011859
Source: RNAcentral
AGAAAGCAAGAGUGAUCUCCCCAGCCUCCACUCUGGUCCCAGGAUCCCGAGCCGGCAGGAGACCCCUGUGGACAAUUCGAGCCAACCUCUGGCUUAUAAUGUCUCAGUGGCACCACAGCUGAGUACAGGCAGAGCUGGGACAGCCGAGCUGCCUCUAGGGCUAGAGGGGGCCAAGCCUGGAAACCCCAGGGCUGUCCAGAGCUCAGAAGGGACAAACUCAGCACCCCCGCCUAAAAUCGGGGCAUCAAGUGCCUCCCAGAUUGGAGAACCUCAGAGCCACACGAAGAGGGACCACCAAGAGUCCCUCACUGCUAGAAAGUUCUACCAAUCCAGUCAAGGCAACUUUGUCUCAGAACUUCUAGAAGGUUCCAUGGACAGAUUGCUCCCCUUUAGUUAUCCACUCAAGCCAGUGUCUCGGGCCUCAUCGGACAGUCACAGGGAGCCCUCAGGGGCUUCCACAGUGGGUGUCAUGCCCAUCAUCCACGUGGGGGUUGUGAGGGGACAGAAGACAUCCUCAGGAGGCCGGAGGGUGUCUCUGGUCCAUGAGCCAUCAUCAGAUGACCCCCAGAGACCCCUUCUUGAUGAGUCUGCUAAGGAUGCCAGGCAGGCUGGCCAGCCAAGAACAGUGCUAAGCCUGACCACACACCUCGAUCAAAGGCCCCCUUCUGCCAGAGGCCCCAGAGUUAGCUAUGAUAAGGGUUCCCUGGUCC